AUUGAACGCUGGCGGCAUGCUUUACACAUGCAAGUCGAACGGCAGCACAGGGAGCUUGCUCCUGGGUGGCGAGUGGCGAACGGGUGAGUAAUGUAUCGGAACGUGCUUGGUAGUGGGGGAUAACUACUCGAAAGAGUGGCUAAUACCGCAUGAGAUCUUUGGAUGAAAGCGGGGGACCUUCGGGCCUCGUGCUACUGGAGCGGCCGAUAUCAGAUUAGGUUGUUGGUGGGGUAAAGGCCUACCAAGCCUGCGAUCUGUAGCUGGUCUGAGAGGACGACCAGCCACACUGGGACUGAGACACGGCCCAGACUCCUACGGGAGGCAGCAGUGGGGAAUUUUGGACAAUGGGCGCAAGCCUGAUCCAGCAAUGCCGCGUGCAGGACGAAGGCCUUCGGGUUGUAAACUGCUUUUGUACAGAACGAAAAGUCUCUGGCUAAUAUCUAGAGAUCAUGACGGUACUGUAAGAAUAAGCACCGGCUAACUACGUG
RNAcentral lists this ribosomal RNA (488 nucleotides) under uncultured bacterium. Its description in RNAcentral is "partial 16S ribosomal RNA". It matches the Rfam family "Bacterial small subunit ribosomal RNA", at positions 30 to 507 of the family's 1533-position model. The record is from RNAcentral.